Molecule: long non-coding RNA, 2966 nt
Organism: Gasterosteus aculeatus aculeatus (three-spined stickleback)
Lineage: Eukaryota; Metazoa; Chordata; Actinopteri; Perciformes; Gasterosteidae
Source: Ensembl
AGUGAAGAAAAAGGUUUCCACAACCAUUUAAUGCCUCCCCUCCUAAACCUUAUAAUUUUCAGUAUCAAUAUGUUUUUUUUAAACUACAUUUACAACUUUUUAAGACUCUACCUUCAAUCGAUUCAAUCUACGAUUCCAGGCUGCCCCAUGUUCCACGUCGAAGUGUCCCUGAGCAAGACACCUAACCCCUAAUUGCUCCCGGGGCAAAAAUAUGAAAAAGCCAUGGGUUUAAAGUGUAAUGUAAGUCGCUUUGGAUAAAAGCGUCUGCUAAAUGACCUGUAAUGUAAUGUAAUGUAAUCGAAUGUUUCCAUUUGUUUUUAAUUUGUAAUUUAAUUUAAUUAUAAAAAACAACAUUUAAGUCUCCCAACUUUCCGUUGUGGUUUCUUUAAGUGUUUAUUAUCUAUUUGUCCUCCGGGUCUAACGGCGUCUGCUUCACUGGGUGUUUACCGGGGGGCGGAGAGACCCUCGAGCACGGCCGGGAAUCAAUCCCCCUUCCUCCUCCUCCUCCUCCUCCUCCUCCCGGCCUUCUGGACAACGUACGGCGAUUCUGCCAGAGAAGAAGAGCAAGAAGCAGAAGCUCUCAGAUCAGUGAGCUUCCCUCCGGAGUCUUUUAUCAGCCGGCUUCCUGUCAUUACUCCGUCAGGUGUCAGCUCUGGAGUCUGGGAAGGAUCCAUGGCCCCUCAUUUCAGAGGCGUAGGGGCGUUUUUUGGGUGGAGAUGGGGGGGUCUGUUUGGGGUUUGGGACGCGUCUAUAAUUGAUGGUUCGGAAGUUUUAAGGGGGACGAUGAGAGGAGUUUAAUAAAGUUCCACAAGUGAGUCUCUUACUGUUCAACGUGGAAAUGCAACAAUUGCCUCAUUCGGGGGCGGAGGGGUCACACAGGCGGCCAUGUUGAAACACAAACAAUGUGUCAUGUUGUGUUUGUUGUUUCAUUAUCAUGAUUAAGCUGUACUAUGAUUCUGUGCCAGCUUUUUGCUAAUGUUUAAACUAGUAUAAUACUAGUGUGAACUACCCACAGCUUUCAUGCUGAUUGCAUGAAUUAUAAAUAAUUCCUUUCGUCCCGUAAUUUUGGAGGACCAAAUUCAAUGGGAACUAUCAAAAUAAUGUUAACAUUUAAUAUUUGGUGAGUGAUGAUUUGCAGUCACUAACUUUUACAAGUGGAAGACCAACAGCUAUUAUCAGAUUCGGGCACUUAACGCUCUGACAGGCCGGCACAUUUCAUAUUUAACAGUGUUUUCAUUUGAACAGGAGGUCAUGUGACUGACCUGGCCAGUACAGUACGUUCAGUACCUGAAGCUCCGUGUUCGCUUUGUAUUUAGAAUAAUAAACGCCAAGACUCAACCGACGGGGACGUGAGCGUCUCUUUCAACAAAACAUUCAAUCAUUCAUAUAAACGACAUUUAAAGGUGUAAUAUUUAGACAGCGGCCGGUUAGGCACAAGUAAUUGAUCACGUAUUCUCGUCGAGGGGUCCGGUUGUCCGUCCUCCCGAGGGACGGACCGGUUUUGGACUCGGGGGAUGUCAGGUUGAGACGUAGGGCGGUUAAACAAGCGGGACCCGUCCCAGGAAGCCGAUGUUGGGACAGUGUUGGGACGGUGUUAGGGACGGUGUUAGGGACGGUGUUAGGGACAGUGUUAGGGACGGUGUUAGGGACGGUGUUAGGGACAGUGUUAGGGACGGUGUUAGGGACGGUGUUAGGGACAGUGUUGGGACGGUGUUAGGGACGGUGUUAGGGACGGUGUUAGGGACAGUGUUGGGACGGUGUUGGGGCGAUGUUAGGGACGGUGUUGGGGCGAUGUUAGGGACGGUUGUUGGGACGGUGUUAGGGACGGUGUUAGGGACGGUGUUAGGGACAGUGUUGGGACGGUGUUGGGGCGAUGUUAGGGACGGUGUUAGGGACAGUGUUGGGGACGGUGUUAGGGACGGUGUUGGGGCGAUGUUGGGGCGAUGUUGGGGACAGUGUUGGGACGAUGCCGGACGCAUCGACUGACGGCCUUUCACGUGUGUACUUGUGAUUAAAACGUUAACAUCUUGGGAUAGUGUCCAACUGUGAGUGUCCCCCCCCCCCUGUCCGUCCACCGCUAAUCACAUAACAAUAACUUGUUUGGUACCACUGCAAGCUCAAAGUCCUCCAGAGGUUGGGGUGACUUAGACUUUCCCAAAUCUCCUUUUGUUGUUUGCUCACUUUUGGCGUUUUGGACGGGACACACACACACACACACACACACACACACACACACACACACACACGGUGUUAGGCAAGACAUUGCAGCUUGUUUCUUUAGUUUGGUUUUAAAAAUAAAACUCCUUCCUGCCUUUGGUGUCUAGACGGGGGAUUUGCCAAUAGCGGGUUCCCAGACUACAGCAGUGCUCACAGACACACCUAUGGGAGAUCUGCACUGAGGGAUCCUUAGUGAUGAGCGGCAUGUGCUGCUAUGUUUUAUUUAAUGUUUGCUUGUGCACAUUUGGUUGCAUGAAGUAAAUAAUGUUUUAAAUUCAGAGCACAGAAUGUGCCGGUACAAACCGCUGAUUACUGACGGAGCGCGCUGAGAAAACGGACACCUGGAGCGCGUUAUGGUGGUAAUCACGUGUGGCCGAGGUAAAUAUCAGGUAGAGAGCGCCGGCGAAACGUCCUUGAUAACAUUUUACAACGUGCCCUUUGGUCCCUUCACCCACAACGCAAUUCCACAGGAAGCUUUAACCGCACAUUCCUGAAAUAGCCUUUCAGAUGGCUGCUUCUAAAAGUGGUGAAAAGGCCGGAGGGAGAACCGGAUGAAGAGCAGCCGCCACCGAGCCAGUGUGAAGAGUGCAGCUUCUCUCCACACAUCUCGGGGUCGCGGGUGCUGGUCACGAGGCCUCCAGGAUCAGCUGCUUUUGAACGCCGGGGGGGGUAAAGCCUCAGCCCAUGAGCUGCGGUACAGGGAGCCCCAGCCGGGCCCCCGAGGAUCGACAGCAGGCAGACGAAUCUUU